UGUCAUCAACAACAACAGUAGCUCUUCACCUUGGAGAGAGUUAAAAGGAGAAAAAGGUCCCUUGCUCCUCUUGUCUUGUAGCCAGUUACUUCAUUUUUGGGCUAAGGUGAACCGUCAGAGCAUACGGGAACGUAGCGUUUUUUCUUUUUUUUUUUCAAAAAGUCUCUUUUAACUCAGAUAUAGUCUUGUGACUCCAGCGUUC
This 202-nucleotide long non-coding RNA is filed under the name Elaeis guineensis (African oil palm). RNAcentral describes it as "long non-coding RNA (EGUI_LNC029037)". The record is from RNAcentral. Lineage: Eukaryota; Viridiplantae; Streptophyta; Magnoliopsida; Arecales; Arecaceae.